UUUUUGGCUAUAUUCGAUAAUACUCGGUCACGACCCCAACCAUCCCCUCCGUCACUGAUCACCACCUUUUCCCCACUCGGACAUGCGACCCCGACGCCGUGAAUCCGCCAAAUCCCUUCUCGACCGAAACCCACCAAAUCAUGAUUCCCUUAUCUUGUCCUUGAUUUGAUUUGGAAUUUGAAGUUGGUUUCUCUCUCACUCUUUCCUGAAUUCAACACCCUAGAGGCUUGAAAUCUAGAACAAAACCGCAAACGCGAUGUCCUUCCACCUAAGGUUCAGAUUCAGUGGAGACGAAGACCUCCCAACAACUAAAGAUAUUAUAUUACUUGUUCUAAAUUACCCUGCAACACUCUUUGGGAUUGUUUUUUUUUAAUGAAUAAUUUUGGGAGAUUGAUGAAAUCAAACGCAUAAGACUUGUGCUUCGGUAUUCAGUAUCAUCUGUUAGGCAACACAACCACAACCACUGCUAUUGUUUCAGUAGUGAUCUGAACCACUGCAGUGCCAUAACAGUAGAUACCGCCAUGACAGCCCACGAAGCUUCCUCUUCAUCCUCCUCCAAGUCAAAACUUUGGAACUACGACGUCUUCUUGAGCUUCAGAGGCGAAGACACGCGCAAGGGCUUCACAGACCACCUCCACGCGGCAUUAAAAGACAGGGGAUACCAGACUUUUAUGGGUGACAACGAUCUCAAAAGAGGGAAAGAAAUGAAAGAGGAACGGUUACUGGCAAUCGAAGAGUCGAGGAACUCUAUCAUUGUCUUCUCAAAGAGGUAUGCGCAUUCGAGUUGGUGUGUUGACGAGCUGGUGAAGAUCAUGGAGUGCAGAUCCAAACUGGGGCGACAUGUUUUGCCAAUAUUCUAUCACUUUGAUCCUUCGCAUUUCAGGAAGCUGGAAGAAGAUUUAGCCAAAGCAUUUCAGAAACGCGAAUUGGACAUCGGUGAAGAAAAAGAUGACCGGAAACGUGAAUAUGAAAGAGAAAGGGUUAAGCAGUGGAGAGAGGCUCUUAAAGAAGCUGCAAGUUUGUCCGGCUACCAAGCUCAAAUCAAUGACAAUGGGUGAGAAGCAGAGCUUAUUAGAGAAAUUGUUGACUAUGUUAUUACGGAAUGGCUUCCGAGCACAAACGAACUAAAUGUGGCCAAGCACCCGGUUGGAUUACAUGACUUGUUAAAUUACCCAGCAACACUCUUUGGGAUUGGUUUUUUUCUUUUUUUUUAAUGAGUAAUUUUGGUAGAAUCGUGAAAUCAAACGCCUAAGAUUACCCAGCAACACUCUUUGGGAUUAUGUUUAUGAUUUUUAGCUUUUGAAGUUUUUUGGCUAACAAGAAUGUAUUUCUCUCUUCUUUUCUGUAUAUGCAAGGAUGAUGGGCACAGCUGGGCCGUGCUGCAGGACCAAAUCAGUAAUUUACCACCCGAAAUCCUUGUCUGUAUAGUGUCACUCUUGCCGCUAAAGGAAGCAGCAGCUACUAGUAUUCUUUCUAGGUGAUGGUGCCAUGUCUGGGCAUCUACUACGACUCUCAGUUUUGACGCUGUUAACUUUGAUGUUGGCGAUAGUGCUAUCGCCACUACUAUACAACGCUUCUUGAAGCUCAAAGAACAAGUGAAAGACCAGGUAAGCCUCCUCUACGUCAAUUGGGUCGAUCACAUUCUGGGCCAACAUAGAGGCCAAUGCAUUGAACGCUUCCGGGUUUGCUGUUUUUCUGCAACGCGACUUUGCCGGUUCCAUUGCCAAAUGGAUCCAAUUUGCAAUGGAAAAGAGGGUUCAAAUACUUGAGUUGGAGCUUUGGACAGACUCAAUAGCUUGCCUUGAUGAUGACUACACAUUUCCCCACGAACUACUAUUGGGUCCAGAAAAGCAAAACGGCCUGUUUUCUAACCUUCCAAGCCUACGCCCUUGUGGAUACAGUACUGCUCCUUCAAGUCCCUCAGAGUUGUUCGCUUUAAACAUGUUGGUGUGACCAGCGAUGCUGUUGAGUUCUUGUUGUCCAACUGUCCAGUUCUAGAACGUUUGUCGCUGAGUUUUGCCAAAGAUUUAGGCAAGCUAAGAGUGAUAGGUCCCUCCAUCGCGUUGAAAUAUUUAGAGAUAAAGUAUUGCCUUGAUCUCAGAUUCAUUGAGAUCUCUGGUGGAAACAUUGUCUCCUUUAUUUAUUGUGGACCGAUAAGAGAUUUGAGUUUGAAUAAUGUGCCCUUGCUGGUUGAGGUAUCCAUUUACAAGUGGGGCACUUUUGCUGAAUUCAUUAGGCUUGCGUUCAGUCAACUCUCAUGCUGUCUUUCUCAUUUAGAGACCCUGAAGCUGGAUAUCAGGAAAGUGGUCUACAAUCAGAAUCAUGCGUUUCCCGCAUUAUCAAAUCUAAAGCAUUUGGAAUUAUUAGUGGAUGCCGACUACUGUCUGUCCCUUGGUCACUUAGCUUCUUUCAUGAAGGCAGCUCCUGACUUGCGCAGCCUUGUUUUGGGGUUGGUUUCAGAACCUCCAACAAGGACAUGGCAAUACUAGAGAAAGUUUCCAAACAACCCCAUCACUGCCUCAAGGUGGUAGAAAUAGCAGGGUAUCGGGGUCAUAAGUGUUGCGUAAAGCAUGUCAGGUACUUGGUGAAGAAUGCUGUUGCACUGGAGAAGAUUGUUAUAAAUCCUGUCCGGUUUUGGGGUUGGCCUUGGGGAUUCGAUAGCGAUGCCCUACUGGAGAAUGAGGAAGAGAAUGCAAGAGAUCAUGCUAUCCAACACCUGAAGAAAAAAGUGCCUUCUAGUAUAGAAUUUGUGUGCCUUUAGGAGUGCAGCGCCGCAGUGCUUAUUCGGAAGCAGCUACUUGAAUAACUAUUAAUUUUAGUGGCUGCAGAACUUGGUAUGGAAUGAAGAUUUGUAAGACGAUUUUCACCGGCUUUAUUUUCUCUCAUUAAUUUUAGUGUUUCUUUAAUUGUCUAUGGUGUUUUGUUCUAGAUGAUCAUGUAAAAUUAUGAUUGAACUGAAUGAAUCCGUUUUUCCAGUAAUUUUUCUUUUGAUGAUUUGUAAAUUUGGUGACCAAAUAAUGGAGAGCUGCUUUCUUAAACUCAA
Molecule: non-coding RNA, 3043 nt
Organism: Malus domestica (apple)
Lineage: Eukaryota; Viridiplantae; Streptophyta; Magnoliopsida; Rosales; Rosaceae
Source: RefSeq, a predicted model, not a curated record